ACAUUAAAGACAUUCACCUUAAAUAGAAGUGUAAGAAUCUUCUAUUUCAUAACACUUUUAAUUUAAUUAUUUUUCAUAGCUAUAAUAAAAUUUUAAUUUACCCAUCAUAGCUAAUGCAAAUACACAAAGUUAUUCCAUUGUAUAAUUUUUUCUCUCAACCCUAUUUCUCUUUUCUCCCUCAACUCUCUCCCAUUUUCCCUCUCUUCUCCCUCGGCAACAAAGAAGUCACCGCCAUCCGUCUUCUCCGACGGAGUUCUACGGAGCACAUCAAAAUAGGCGCCGCUUUCUCUCUUCCCCACACAUUACCGCCCUCCACUGUAUACCCCAUUUACCGUGAAUCACCCUUAAACACCGUCGCCACCCACCGUUAGUUCCAGAUCUGAAUUACAAAGUUGCGAUCAAUCCAUGAGCGGCGGCGAAAACAAUGGAGGAGGAAGAUCAGAGGCGCCAUCGGAUCUUGAUCUAAUGGAGAUGCCAAAAUUCAUAGCUUCUUGUCCUUUUUUGUAUCUCACAUCUGAGUAUAUUUGUCUGACUCGAGACUUCUUUCUCUACCACUACUUUUCACGCCGGAAAAAACCCCUCUUUCUUCUCCACUGCCUUUCAUGUUGGAAAAUCGUUGUAUGAAUUCAGUGUAUUUUGUAUUUUCAUCAUAGAUUUGAAGAGUAUUUUGGAUUUCUCCGGAGAUCUGAUGAGAUUUGAUUGCGUUCUCCAUUUUUAAGUACAGGGUAUUUUGUAUUCUCGUUGGUAAUUUGAUUGUAUUCUUUUUUAUAGUUAAAUACAAAUAAACUUUAAAAGGAUUUGAAUGUAUCCUUCCCUUUUUAGUAAAUAUAGUGAUAUUUUAUAUUUCACCGGAGAUCCGACUGGGGUUGAUUGUAUUCUUUCUUUUUAAAUAUUGUGUAUUUUGCAUAUUGCUGGAGAUUUUGACAGAAUUUGAUUGUAUUCUUCGUUUCGUCAUUUUUUGGUAUAAGUACAUUCAAAUAUAGUGGAAUAUGUUCAACCUUGCCACAUCAAAUAAAGUUGGAUAUAAUUGAACAAUAUAUUCAAAUAUACACGUGGAUUGUUUUUUUAAAAAUACGGCUUAAUGAUGUAUUCAAAUACAACAAAAUUAUUCAAAAAUAGCUACAAAACAUAAACACAUAAAAUAUAGUUACGGAUUGGUAAAAGCUCCAUAAAAAGUAGUCAUUUAUGAAAGUGUUCCUUUAAAUAACACCAUUAAAGGUGACCGUCUGGAGUUAUUUUACAGUACCAUAUUGGGUAUAAGUGACCCGGACCUUGUAAUCCCAAUUAAGGGGAGUAGACAAAC
RNAcentral lists this long non-coding RNA (1303 nucleotides) under Nicotiana benthamiana. RNAcentral's name for it is "long non-coding RNA (NBEN_LNC034116)". Lineage: Eukaryota; Viridiplantae; Streptophyta; Magnoliopsida; Solanales; Solanaceae. The record is from RNAcentral.